Molecule: ribosomal RNA, 479 nt
Filed under: uncultured bacterium
Lineage: Bacteria
Description: bacterial SSU rRNA
Rfam family: Bacterial small subunit ribosomal RNA
Source: RNAcentral
AUUGAACGCUGGCGGCAUGCCUUACACAUGCAAGUCGAACGGCAGCACGGGAGCAAUCCUGGUGGCGAGUGGCGAACGGGUGAGUAAUAUAUCGGAACGUGCCCAGUCGUGGGGGAUAACGUAGAGAAAUUUACGCUAAUACCGCAUGCGAUCUAAGGAUGAAAGCGGGGGAUCGCAAGACCUCGCGCGAUUGGAGCGGCCGAUACCAGAUUAGGUAGUUGGUGAGGUAAAGGCUCACCAAGCCGACGAUCUGUAGCUGGUCUGAGAGGACGACCAGCCACACUGGGACUGAGACACGGCCCAGACUCCUACGGGAGGCAGCAGUGGGGAAUAUUGGACAAUGGGCGCAAGCCUGAUCCAGCCAUGCCGCGUGCAGGAUGACGGUCCUAUGGAUUGUAAACUGCUUUUAUACAGGAAGAAACACUACUUCGUGAAGUAGCUUGACGGUACUGUAAGAAUAAGGAUCGGCUAACUCCGUG